CAAAGAAUAGUUAAAUGUUAGAAUGCCAGCUUUGGGGGCUAGAGGUGAGAGUUAGAAUCUC
This 61-nucleotide transfer RNA is filed under the name Chaeturichthys stigmatias (finespot goby). RNAcentral describes it as "tRNA-Pro". The record is from RNAcentral. Lineage: Eukaryota; Metazoa; Chordata; Actinopteri; Gobiiformes; Gobiidae.